GACGGAGGAUGCAAGUGUUAUCCGGAAUCACUGGGCGUAAAGCGUCUGUAGGUGGUUUAAAAAGUCCACUGUUAAAGAUUGAAGCUUAACUUCAAAAAUGCCGUGGAAACUUUUAAACUUGAGUAUGAUAGGGGUAGAGGGAAUUUCCAGUGGAGCGGUGAAAUGCGUAGAUAUUGGAAAGACCACCAAUGGCGAAGGCACUCUACUGGGCCAUUACUGACACUGAGAGACGAAAGCUAGGGGAGCAAAUGGG
Molecule: ribosomal RNA, 253 nt
Filed under: uncultured bacterium
Lineage: Bacteria
Also listed under: 1 other name
Description: partial 16S ribosomal RNA
Rfam family: Bacterial small subunit ribosomal RNA
Source: RNAcentral